GGGCAUUUGGUUUAGUGGUAUGAUUCUCGCUUCAGGUGUGACAGGUCUUGAGUUCAAUUCUCAGAAUGCCCC
Molecule: transfer RNA, 72 nt
Filed under: Ipomoea nil (Japanese morning glory)
Lineage: Eukaryota; Viridiplantae; Streptophyta; Magnoliopsida; Solanales; Convolvulaceae
Rfam family: tRNA
About the family: Transfer RNA (tRNA) molecules are approximately 80 nucleotides in length. Their secondary structure includes four short double-helical elements and three loops (D, anti-codon, and T loops).
Source: Rfam by way of RNAcentral